Molecule: long non-coding RNA, 3938 nt
Organism: Carassius auratus (goldfish)
Lineage: Eukaryota; Metazoa; Chordata; Actinopteri; Cypriniformes; Cyprinidae
Exons: 5
Source: RefSeq, a predicted model, not a curated record
CGAUUCGGAGUUCGGACUGCCCAGUAAGAAUCAUUCAGGAACAAGCAACAGCAGCAUGGAAAUUUGACGCUUGAUGUAUCCAUGGAUUGAGAAUCGACCGGUCAAGGUUCAUGGUAGCAGCAGAGAACAUUGAAGAGCAGAUCCGUUUAAAAUCACAGGUUGCACUUCCCCCCGUUGACCGUUAAGUGCUCCUUCACAUUAUGUGCCCUCUGGAAGAAAUAACUUGAGCCUCCAGAAGAGGAACAAUGCAAAGCUGAUUCUCUUACUCCCUGAUAUGGCUCGCUUCUGAUGAACGGCUCUUCACAGAGCUGAUUAUUUUGCACAGACUGCAUUGGUUAAACUUAUGGGGCUGUCACAUGAUGAACGAACGACUCAAUCCCGAAGAUUCAUAGAACAGAGCUGGAAAUGAUGGCCACAUUUGUAUUCAAAGCCACAUAUUACCUGCUUCAAUCUACAGUCAAACUGACAGACGAGCCACACUCUCUAAGUCAAGGACGUAUGACUAAGCACUGGAGUCUGCUCAGCUUUGAUUCACAGUUGAUUCCAGCUGUUCAUGAGCCUGAGGAUGGUGUGCGGACGCAUGUGACAGAUGUGCUAGCAAAAGUAUAAUGAGUGCAGAUUUGUACCAAUGAACUCGCUGAAUCAUAAUGAGCUUCAACUGAAAACCCCAACAGGUUUUGUAGACUUUAAUGAAGACAGGCAGUAGGUGAUGAGAUGCCACUGAUACCCACUGAUUUACAUACAUCUUGUAAAUCAAAAAGAAAACAAGAUUAUGUUUCAGCUUCUAAAUUUUUUAUAUCAUGAAGCAGGAAUUCUCUUUGUAAAUGGGCAGUGCUGUUUCAGGGUCACUUUUGUUGUGGACCUGUUGGACGUCAGCUGUUUUCAUAUCAACCAAAAACAGGCCAAACUCUGACAUCAAAUAGACACAGCUUUUAUUUGAAAAGAGAAUAAUAAGGUAAAUGACAGUUCACACAGGACAUGUUCUUGCAGUUUAUUUGCACUGUUUUGUUUUUUUAUUGGUCAUGUACAGUACGCACGGUAAACCUAUAUAUUGAUGUCACUGAUCCAUUUCUGGGUUCUGAAAUCCUGUUCAGAUUCCGUCUGAUUUUUGCAUGUGCUUUGUCUAUGCUGCCCAAUCUAUAAAGAUAGAUAGAUGUUAUGGAAAAGAAGAAAUGCACACAACCCAGAUAGCAUGUGGAUGUGGGCCACUUAAAGCAAUAAUAUAGCACUGCUGGCAUACUUAUGGCCCGGACAAAAUGGAUGUGAUCCUGAAGUGGCCCAUAUUUAAAGCAGCAAAAAAUGGACCAAAAGUAUAAAAACAUAUGUAGGCCUAAAGAUGUGGUGUUGUAGGCAAUGUGUAAUCUGAAUGUGACCCUAAAGUGACCCAUGUUAUAUAAAGUGAUUAUGGCCCAAAUAGUGCCAACCAAAAAUGUGGCAUUAUCGACAAAGGCUAAUCAGGGUGUAAACCAAAUGUGGUCUACAUGUAUUUAAACAAAUGUGGCCCAGGUACAUUCAAACAUAUCUGGGCCAGUUUUGGCGAAUAUAUGGCACAGUAAGCACUGGCUAUUUGUGAGCCUAAGGUGGCUUGCAUAUUAUACCAAUGUGGCCCAGUUAUCCUAAAACAUAGUUGGGCCAGUUUUGGGAAAGAAAUGGCAGAAUGAGCAGUGACUAAUGUGGCUGUGAGACUAAAAUGGCCCUUAUAUGAUGCCGCAAAUGUGAACAGAACAGGUCAAGGGGCUGCUAUCAACAGCUGAGUUAGCUCUGAUAGCCACAGUAGGUUCAUCUAAAGUGGGGCCAUCAGAAGAACCUUGUGUUUCUGUUCCCUUACUCCCCUGAUUACCUGUGGGAUCAGAUUGAUCGGGGUAAAAGCAUAAAGGAGAAGGUUUGGACAAUCAUGGACCAAAGCAUCCUUUGUAUUUAAGAAAUAAACUGGAGAGAUGUCUUCUGCGGCGAAUAGGUCUACUUUGGCCUUUCCAAAGAUCUCCUAGAUCCUCUAAACCGUUUAUGGUUGGAGCAUCCACUCCCCUGAGGGAACAUUGUUCCUUGGUUUUUGCCCAUUAUAUGUGCUGCCCUCAGCGAGCUCUGAAGAGAUGCUUUGAGGAGAGGAAGCCUUCCUGGCGAUUUAUGUAGGGCAUCACAGAUAUCUCCAAUCCGAUUAGCACAUGGCAUCCUUUUAGGACUAGCAGGAAGAACUGACAGGUUCAACAUACUGCUAGUAUCUCCAGGCAGUUGAUGUGGAAACCCUUUUUCUGCCUUUCGACCAUUGGCCGAAAGUUGGUGUGCCUUGGCACAGUGCCCGCCAACCUGGUUGGAGGUGUAUGUCAUGACAAUUGUCCUUCUGCAAGCCAUCCUGCAAGACCUGUUCCAUCCAACACAGGCCUGACUCACCCUGAUGUGCAGGCGUCUGUGAUACCAGGCAUGGGAUGGAACUUGUGGUUUCAACCAGCAUUGGAGAAGGAACAUUUGAAGCAUCCUUUGAAACACUUUAAGGGGUGAGUGGAACCAAUCUUGAAAGAGGUCACCAGCCUCCAUUAUAGCCCGAGCCCGAUUCAGUGCAACUACAGCUCUCAUUUGGCCUGAGUCGAAAAUUUAUCCCAGGAAUGAUAUUUGCUAGCUGGGGAACAACAUGCUCCCAGGCACUCCAGGUGGCUGAAAAGGAGGGUCCUCUUUGAUAUGAAUUCUUCAUCUGACUGGGUCAGAAGGAAGUUGAGGUAGUUGAGAAUGCAGUUUUUAAUCUGUCUCUGAUGGGAGAGCAUCCAUGUACUACGUAAAAGUGCAGGGGACAAGUAGUAUGCAUCCAGCAAAAAAGAACUAGACUCUUGAGUGAAUUUGCGCAAAGAUCUGUUUCAGCUUAGUCAUCCUGAACAACCUUUUCAUGAGGGCAUGAUUCAGGUGUCUGAGAUAAAGGAUGGGCCAGAGGCCACCAUAUAUUUUGGGGAUGAUGCAGUAGUGGCUGUGGAAGCCUGACUCAUUCUGAGCUGGGUGAACCAUUUCUACGACUCAUAAUGCCAGCAAAUGCCAGGGCUUACCUGCUAGAAAUAAGCUCUUUCAUAAUCGCUGGAAGACGGCAAGGGAAACGUACCGGAACUGCUGCAUUGCUGUAGAAGGUGUAUUCAUCGGCGAGUGGCUUCAAAUCAGUGUAGAGACAUAGUGGACAAUGAAGGAGAAGAAAUCUGAGAAUCCUGUGGUGAAUGCCCGCUUAUAUAGCCAGAGCGCCCAUUCUGGCAGGCUUUGGCAAGUUUGGCGGGCUUUGUACCAUAGGCUCGUGCAGCUCCACUGCCUAGCCAUUGGUUCAUAUUUUAAUACACUGCACAAUACACUGGCUGUGCAGUGUCACUGCAUGAAUGAAAAAGGCUUCAGUUCAGGAGAAAAAUGGCUUUUUCCCAUAUGCGUCUAGCAAGACGCAGUACGAGUGUAAUAUCGAAAGGGAACCAUAAUUGUUCAGAAUGUGCAGUUUUACUAGUUGAUAAGAAAAUACUUUAAUGUUGUAAAAAAUCUGAUCAUAAAGAUGUGAUACUUAUUACUUUUACAAAUAAAAAAAUAUAUAAAAAUGCUGUUUUGUGUCAAGGUUAUGCAAUGACGUCAUCACGCAAUGACAUCACGUCAUUUAUCAACAAAUCGAUCUGCCUUUAGCUACUUCUACUUAACACUGGAUGAGUGGCCGUCCACAGGGGGCCAAAGGUGUUUGAUGAAGUGAAGGAAGAUACCCUGGGGUGCAGAGGCCAGUGAAAGGCCAUGCAGGUUCUUCUAACACAGUUGUGUUUCUAGCCAGCACUCUGGCAUCUCAGCACCCAACAAAAAGCGGCUGAACCUUCUGCUCUCCUCUGAGCUAAUGGACACCAAAAUAAACUACGCAUCAUUAAUCAGUGGUCUGUCACAUUACACCUGCUGUGCUGCUGGAGAGGCAGCCCUUUAUCUCUCACACUGAACUCCACUCU